UUGGCUGGUGCAUAAACUGUGACAACUUAUUGACAAUGAAAGCAAUAUAAGCUGUGUAAGAGAUAAAUAUUGAAAAGAGCCAACUAGUUGUCUAUAUUUAGUUGCAUUAGUGGAUGAGGAGCCAUCAUAUAAGAAAAGAGACAUUAAGGUAGCCAAGGUAGUGGAAACUAUUUCGCACCAAGUAUGUUGGGUAUUCUAAUAAGUUCAUGAAUAGGGC
Molecule: long non-coding RNA, 217 nt
Filed under: Elaeis guineensis (African oil palm)
Lineage: Eukaryota; Viridiplantae; Streptophyta; Magnoliopsida; Arecales; Arecaceae
Description: long non-coding RNA (EGUI_LNC054098)
Source: RNAcentral